AACUCUGCAACGUAUUACACGCCAACGAGCUUGCAAGGCAACUGAAGGAAGAUGGAGUCAAUAUAACAGUAAAUUCUCUUCAUCCAGGAGCCAUUAUGACAAGUCUUUGGCGCCACUUCAAUAGCUAUUUAGCUGGAGCUGUUAGUGCACUGGCUAGCUAUUUCAUAAAGACUAUACCGCAGG
This is a long non-coding RNA of Brassica oleracea var. oleracea, 183 nucleotides long. RefSeq lists it as uncharacterized. NCBI's taxonomy places the organism in Eukaryota, Viridiplantae, Streptophyta, Magnoliopsida, Brassicales, Brassicaceae. The transcript has 3 exons. The record is from RefSeq and is a predicted model, not a curated record.